UAUGGGAACCCAGUCACCACCUACACCAGAUCAGAGCCCCACUAUACAGAUGAGUAUGGGAACCCAGUACGCGAAAGGGGGAUGAUGGACAAGAUCAAGGAGAAGCUCCCAGGUACUCAUGACCCCUACUCAUCUCAUUCUCAGACAACCUACCCCACUGCACGUUACGGUGAAACCGGCUACACUGGAUUGGAGCAGCACCAUGGGAUGAUGAACAAGAUGCCAGGUACUGACCCCUACUCAUCUCAUUCUCAUACAACCGGCACCACUGCACCUUACGAUGGAACCGGCUACACCGGAACAGAGUACCGCCAGCACAAGGGCACGAUGGACAGGAUCAAGGAUAAGCUGACUGGGACUGGUGGACAUAGGGUGGAUGAUCCCUACUCAUCUCAUUCUCAUAAAACCGCCACCACCACACCUUACGGUGGCACCACCACCACAGCUUACGGUGACAGCACCACCACACCUUCACCUUACGGUGGCACCACCACCACACAUUCACCUUACGGUGGCACCACCACCACAGCUUACGGUGACACCACCACCACACCUUCAGCUUACGGUGGCACCACCACCACACCUUCAGCUUACGGUGGCACCGCCACCACCACCUACCCCCGUGAAAAGAAGGGCAUCAUGGACAAGAUCAAAGAGAAACUUCCUGGUGGACAUCAUUAUUAAUAAUAGGGUUAUGUAAGAGAUAGAUACGUUAGGUAUCGUUUUGUGUUCAAUGUUUUAGUAUGACGUGUAUAAUAAGCGGUG
Molecule: long non-coding RNA, 765 nt
Filed under: Prunus persica (peach)
Lineage: Eukaryota; Viridiplantae; Streptophyta; Magnoliopsida; Rosales; Rosaceae
Description: long non-coding RNA (PPER_LNC007441)
Source: RNAcentral